Cucurbita maxima (winter squash) is the source of this 119-nucleotide ribosomal RNA. Lineage: Eukaryota; Viridiplantae; Streptophyta; Magnoliopsida; Cucurbitales; Cucurbitaceae. The record is from RefSeq and is a predicted model, not a curated record.
AGGUGCGAUCAUACCAGCACUAAUGCAAUGGAUCUCAUCAGAACUCCACAGUUAAGCGUAUUUGGGCGAGAGUAGUACUAAGUUGUGUGACCACUUGGGAAGUCCUCGUAUUGCACCCC